ACGAACGCUGGCGGCGUGCUUAACACCUGCAAGUCGAACGGAAAGGCCCCGCUUUUGUGGGGUGCUCGAGUGGCGAACGGGUGAGUAACACGUGAGUAACCUGCCCUUGACUUUGGGAUAACUUCAGGAAACUGGGGCUAAUACCGGAUAGGAGCUCCUGCUGCAUGGUGGGGGUUGGAAAGUUUCGGCGGUUGGGGAUGGACUCGCGGCUUAUCAGCUUGUUGGUGGGGUAGUGGCUUACCAAGGCUUUGACGGGUAGCCGGCCUGAGAGGGUGACCGGCCACAUUGGGACUGAGAUACGGCCCAGACUCCUACGGGAGGCAGCAGUGGGGAAUAUUGCACAGUGGGCGGAAGCCUGAUGCAGCAACGCCGCGUGCGGGAUGACGGCCUUCGGGUUGUAAACCGCUUUCGCCUGUGACGAAGCGUGAGUGACGGUAAUGGGUAAAGAAGCACCGGCUAACUACGUG
Molecule: ribosomal RNA, 467 nt
Filed under: uncultured bacterium
Lineage: Bacteria
Description: partial 16S ribosomal RNA
Rfam family: Bacterial small subunit ribosomal RNA
Source: RNAcentral